This 90-nucleotide transfer RNA is filed under the name Hyphomicrobiales bacterium. RNAcentral's name for it is "Rhizobiales bacterium (activated sludge metagenome) tRNA-Ser". It matches the Rfam family "tRNA". Rfam says of the family: Transfer RNA (tRNA) molecules are approximately 80 nucleotides in length. Their secondary structure includes four short double-helical elements and three loops (D, anti-codon, and T loops). Further hydrogen bonds mediate the characteristic L-shaped molecular structure. tRNAs have two regions of fundamental functional importance: the anti-codon, which is responsible for specific mRNA codon recognition, and the 3' end, to which the tRNAs corresponding amino acid is attached (by aminoacyl-tRNA synthetases). tRNAs cope with the degeneracy of the genetic code in two manners: having more than one tRNA (with a specific anti-codon) for a particular amino acid; and 'wobble' base-pairing, i.e. permitting non-standard base-pairing at the 3rd anti-codon position. Lineage: Bacteria; Pseudomonadati; Pseudomonadota; Alphaproteobacteria; Hyphomicrobiales. The record is from RNAcentral.
GGAGAGGUGGCAGAGUGGUCGAUCGCGCCGCACUCGAAAUGCGGAGUCCGUGCAAGCGGACCGGGGGUUCAAAUCCCUCCCUCUCCGCCA